Molecule: long non-coding RNA, 297 nt
Organism: Chiroxiphia lanceolata (lance-tailed manakin)
Lineage: Eukaryota; Metazoa; Chordata; Aves; Passeriformes; Pipridae
Exons: 3
Source: RefSeq, a predicted model, not a curated record
AGAAAAUCUGGAAAGUGGGAAGGAAGAAAAGAAGCCCCCUGACUCCUCCCUGAGCCCCAGACAGCCCAUGAACUGCCUCCCUGGGAAUGGUAGGACAGGGUGGACUCUGGAUUGCUCCCUCUGGAUGUGUGGGGGAUGUAGCCUGGAAAGUGCACAGAGCUGAGGCAAGGGAUUUAAAGGGACCAACCAAGGGAGGUGAAGAAAGAAGGAAGAAGGGAACUGAGGCAGCAGCCAAGCAGUAUCAAGUUCCUGUGUAAGCAGGACGUGAAUGCAAGAACCUGCCAAGAAAACCAAUGG